This 142-nucleotide ribosomal RNA is filed under the name Escherichia coli. RNAcentral describes it as "partial 16S ribosomal RNA". It matches the Rfam family "Bacterial small subunit ribosomal RNA", at positions 1 to 134 of the family's 1533-position model. The record is from RNAcentral. Lineage: Bacteria; Pseudomonadati; Pseudomonadota; Gammaproteobacteria; Enterobacterales; Enterobacteriaceae.
UUAAAUUGAAGAGUUUGAUCAUGGCUCAGAUUGAACGCUGGCGGCAGGCCUAACACAUGCAAGUCGAACGGUAACAGGAAGAAGCUUGCUUCUUUGCUGACGAGUGGCGGACGGGUGAGUAAUGUCUGGGAAACUGCCUGAU